This 506-nucleotide ribosomal RNA is filed under the name uncultured bacterium. Its description in RNAcentral is "partial 16S ribosomal RNA". It matches the Rfam family "Bacterial small subunit ribosomal RNA", at positions 29 to 523 of the family's 1533-position model. The record is from RNAcentral.
AGUGAACGCUGGCGGUAGGCCUAACACAUGCAAGUCGAACAGCAGCACAGGAGAGCUUGCUCUCUGGGUGGCGAGUGGCGGACGGGUGAGGAAUACAUCGGAAUCUACUCUGUCGUGGGGGAUAACGUAGGGAAACUUACGCUAAUACCGCAUACGACCUACGGGUGAAAGCAGGGGACCUUCGGGCCUUGCGCGAUUGAAUGAGCCGAUGUCGGAUUAGCUAGUUGGCGGGGUAAAGGCCCACCAAGGCGACGAUCCGUAGCUGGUCUGAGAGGAGGAUCAGCCACACUGGGACUGAGACACGGUCCAGACUCCUACGGGAGGCAGCAGUGGGGAAUAUUGGACAAUGGGCGCAAGCCUGAUCCAGCCAUACCGCGUGGGUGAAGAAGGCCUUCGGGUUGUAAAGCCCUUUUGUUGGGAAAGAAAUCUAGCUGGCUAAUACCCGGUUGGGAUGACGGUACCCAAAGAAUAAGCACCGGCUAACUUCGUGCCAGCCGCCGCAGUAA